GGAGGAGGAGGAGAGGGAGGAGGGGGGGAAAAAGAAGAAGAAGGAGGAGGAGGAGGAGGAGGAACGGGGCGGGGGGCGCCGCCGUUGGAGGCUGAGGCCGAGGCUGAGCAGCCGUCAGCCAUUUUCCCUUGCCCUCCAAAACACCGGCGGCGCGGGGCCUGCCGCCCGGCAUCGCCCCCUCCUCCUCCUCCUUCUCCCUUCUCCCUCCUCCUCCUCCUCGCUGCACCCCGUCCCCGGGGAGCUCCCCACACGCAGCUCCCGGCCCCACCCGGCCCCGGCCCCGGUCCCGGCCCGGUCUCGCCGCCACUCACCCCCGCACGGCGUCGUCCCCUCCUGGUCCCGCGGCUGCCGCUGCCACAGCCCGGAGCCCCGCCGCCCGCUGCUGCUGCUGCUGGCGGAGCGCGGCCGGCGCCUGCCUCAUCCCCGGCGGCCGCCGGGGCUCAUGGCAGGCCCCGCGCUGCCGGCUCGGGCGACGAGGGGGGCGGCUCCGCUCCGCCGGGAGAGAAAGGCGAGGAGAAGGCGAGGGAAGGAGGAGGAGGAGGAGGAGAGGGGCCAAGCCGCUGCGGCUCCCGGCUGCGCUCCGUCCCCGCGGCUCGGCUCGGCUGGGCUCGGGCGUUUUUCCUGCGUCACCAGCUCCUGCCCGGCCGCCCUGCGCUGCGCUCCGGCUGCCGACGGGGCUCGGCCGGGGCCUGCGCGCUCCGCUCCGCCCCGUCCGGGCACCGCGGCCACGGGGGGGGAUGGAGGAGGAGGAGGAGGAGGAGGAGGAGGAGGAGGAGGGGGCAGCCGCGCCGCUCGCCUCGGGGGCCCGGGGCUCGGCUGGGCUGGGCGGGGGCGGGCAGGAAGGAAGGCGGCGGCGGCGGCGGAGGAGAGCGCCGGGCGCUGACGGCUCCGAGGAGGAGAUGGGGAGGGAGGGACGGGGGUGAGGGGGGGGAAAGGAGGGAGGGAGGCGGCGGCGGCUCCUCAGUCUCGCGGGGCCCUGCACAAGAUGGCGGCCCCGGUGGCGGCGGCGGCGGCGCGGCCCUCGCACACUCCUCACACGCUUUUACACACGCACACGCGAGGGAGAGACACGCGUGUAACGGGUUUUGUGAAUUUUAUUUAUUAUUUUAUUUAUUUUUAUUUUUUGGAGCGGGGGGGGGUUGGGGGCGUGUCACGCGCGCCGCCGUUUCACGCCGGUUGGGCCCGCGCGGGUUCCAUUGUGGCCCGCCGGCACGGCCGCCGGGUGACGUCACGCGGCCGCGGCCCCGCCUCCCGCUCCGCCUCAGGGGCGUGAGGAAAUGGCCGCCGGGCAGCCCCGCGGCGACGCGCUCCGUCCCGCACGGUCUCGCCUCACCUCAAGCGGCGCCUAACGCCUCGUUUUUGUGCUUUUUCUUCAUCUUUUGGCCCUUUUCUCUGUUUUCACGUUAA
RNAcentral lists this long non-coding RNA (1407 nucleotides) under Anas platyrhynchos platyrhynchos (common mallard). RNAcentral's name for it is "lncRNA (ENSAPLG00000025592.1)". The record is from RNAcentral. Lineage: Eukaryota; Metazoa; Chordata; Aves; Anseriformes; Anatidae.